GAUGAACGCUGGCGGCGUGCCUAAUACAUGCAAGUCGAGCGAACAGACGAGGAGCUUGCUCCUCUGACGUUAGCGGCGGACGGGUGAGUAACACGUGGAUAACCUACCUAUAAGACUGGGAUAACUUCGGGAAACCGGAGCUAAUACCGGAUAAUAUAUUGAACCGCAUGGUUCAAUAGUGAAAGACGGUUUUGCUGUCACUUAUAGAUGGAUCCGCGCCGCAUUAGCUAGUUGGUAAGGUAACGGCUUACCAAGGCAACGAUGCGUAGCCGACCUGAGAGGGUGAUCGGCCACACUGGAACGGAGACACGGUCCAGACUCCUACGGGAGGCAGCAGUAGGGAAUCUUCCGCAAUGGGCGAAAGCCUGACGGAGCAACGCCGCGUGAGUGAUGAAGGUCUUCGGAUCGUAAAGCUCUGUUAUUAGGGAAGAACAAAUGUGUAAGUAACUAUGCACGUCUUGACGGUACCUAAUCAGAAAGCCACGGCUAACUACGUG
RNAcentral lists this ribosomal RNA (497 nucleotides) under uncultured bacterium. RNAcentral's name for it is "partial 16S ribosomal RNA". It matches the Rfam family "Bacterial small subunit ribosomal RNA", at positions 28 to 507 of the family's 1533-position model. The record is from RNAcentral.